RNAcentral lists this ribosomal RNA (501 nucleotides) under uncultured bacterium. Its description in RNAcentral is "partial 16S ribosomal RNA". It matches the Rfam family "Bacterial small subunit ribosomal RNA", at positions 30 to 523 of the family's 1533-position model. The record is from RNAcentral.
AUUGAACGCUGGCGGCAGGCUUAACACAUGCAAGUCGAGCGGAGCGAAGGUGCUUGCACCUUAGCUUAGCGGCGGACGGGUGAGUAAUGCUUAGGAAUCUGCCUAUUAGUGGGGGACAACGUUUCGAAAGGAACGCUAAUACCGCAUACGUCCUACGGGAGAAAGCAGGGGGUCUUCGGACCUUGUGCUAAUAGAUGAGCCUAAGUCGGAUUAGCUAGUUGGUGGGGUAAAGGCCUACCAAGGCGACGAUCUGUAGCGGGUCUGAGAGGAUGAUCCGCCACAAUGGGACUGAAACACGGACCAGACUCCUACGGGAGGGAGCAGUGGGGAAUAUUGGACAAUGGGCGAAAGCCUGAUCCAGCCAUGCCGCGUGUGUGAAGAAGGCCUUUUGGUUGUAAAGCACUUUAAGCGAGGAGGAGGAGCUUCAGGUUAAUACCCUGGAUGCUUGGACGUUACUCGCAGAAUAAGCACCGGCUAACUCUGUGCCAGCAGCCGCAGUAA